GCCGAAAAUAAUUUUAAGUUCAUUAAAUAUCCACACAAUAUGGAUGUAAUGGGCGCUAGUGUUGACUCAAGAGUACGAAAUUUUAGGUACAAUAUUUAUGUCGAUCCAUCGGAAUUGGAUUCAAGAGUAGAUACCUACGCGUACAGAUCAUAAUUUAUUUUUAAAUACAUGAGUAACUAGGUACCUAUAUUGUAAAUGGUACAUUAAUAAUUUUAAUUUUAAUGGUUCCAUUACGUAAUAAUAAUUACUCAGUAUCGACCACUAACCGUUAUAAUAAGGAUAAAAUAUUAAUAAUAACUAAUUAAAAUAAUAAGUACGAGUACGUUAGCUAGCUCGUUCACCAUUAAUUAUCCUACUGAGCAUAAAACGCGUUGGAGUUUUGUUACAACUUGUUGUGUGUUUGAGUAAAAACAUGUUGAAAAUGUGGCUGUUUCUUGUAUUCCUCGCGCUACUGUCUAUAACGAAUAUCCCGACAGAUGCGGGUAUCAUCGAAUCGAACUUCGAACCGAGUUGGUCUUACUUGCAUUCACGUGGCCGUGAAUGCGCCUUUGGUCUGCAUUAUAUUCACGAUCGAUGCCUCAAUAUGCGAGAAUUUAUGGAGUACAUGUAUAAUGAUUACGCAUAUUAUUGAACGAAUCAACUGAAAGAUCGCGACGAUGGUGUUAACAUACUUUAACUGAAAUACCUAUCAAGUGAAGAUUUAACAUUAUGUGGUAUUUAGACAUAAGAAUUCAGUAUUUAUAGCAUUGGUAGAUAUAUCACUUUGUAUUUAAAACCUUAGCUAAAUAGAAAUAGAAUUCCUUUUCACUCAAAAAUUGUUACAACUUAAAAUGUAGAAAAUGUAACAUUUCUUACAUGUUCAACUUUAUAGUCCUUUAAUAAGGAUGAAAGUAGCUUGUAGUUGAUUCACAUAGAAUAAUUAAUACUAAUUUAUAAGUUUUUAAUAAAGUGUUUUAGUAAUCAGA
Molecule: long non-coding RNA, 965 nt
Organism: Spodoptera frugiperda (fall armyworm)
Lineage: Eukaryota; Metazoa; Arthropoda; Insecta; Lepidoptera; Noctuidae
Exons: 2
Source: RefSeq, a predicted model, not a curated record